This 508-nucleotide ribosomal RNA is filed under the name Escherichia coli. Its description in RNAcentral is "bacterial SSU rRNA". It matches the Rfam family "Bacterial small subunit ribosomal RNA", at positions 1024 to 1532 of the family's 1533-position model. The record is from RNAcentral. RNAcentral also lists the same sequence under 1 other name. Lineage: Bacteria; Pseudomonadati; Pseudomonadota; Gammaproteobacteria; Enterobacterales; Enterobacteriaceae.
GAACCGUGAGACAGGUGCUGCAUGGCUGUCGUCAGCUCGUGUUGUGAAAUGUUGGGUUAAGUCCCGCAACGAGCGCAACCCUUAUCCUUUGUUGCCAGCGGUCCGGCCGGGAACUCAAAGGAGACUGCCAGUGAUAAACUGGAGGAAGGUGGGGAUGACGUCAAGUCAUCAUGGCCCUUACGACCAGGGCUACACACGUGCUACAAUGGCGCAUACAAAGAGAAGCGACCUCGCGAGAGCAAGCGGACCUCAUAAAGUGCGUCGUAGUCCGGAUUGGAGUCUGCAACUCGACUCCAUGAAGUCGGAAUCGCUAGUAAUCGUGGAUCAGAAUGCCACGGUGAAUACGUUCCCGGGCCUUGUACACACCGCCCGUCACACCAUGGGAGUGGGUUGCAAAAGAAGUAGGUAGCUUAACCUUCGGGAGGGCGCUUACCACUUUGUGAUUCAUGACUGGGGUGAAGUCGUAACAAGGUAACCGUAGGGGAACCUGCGGUUGGAUCACCUCCUU